This 1449-nucleotide long non-coding RNA is filed under the name Populus tremula. RNAcentral describes it as "long non-coding RNA (PTRE_LNC003325)". Lineage: Eukaryota; Viridiplantae; Streptophyta; Magnoliopsida; Malpighiales; Salicaceae. The record is from RNAcentral.
GGAGCAAAAAACACUGGCGACGCGUCUUCCCACGCGCCCCCGCCACUAGCGGCGCGUGGGUUCACGCGCCACCGAUGAGGCUGGAAACCAGUGGAUCGGGAGCGCCUUCUUCUUCUUUGUCUUCCUCCACCGGCGGUGAGGGUCACCGUCGCCUGCAACAAGAACAAAAACGCACAACAAGCAGUCGGUUUUAAUUAAUGUUUUAGAUUUGUUUUCCUCUGCUUUCCAUCGUUAUCUGCUUCACGUUCUUCUUGCUCCGGUCUGUUCUUGGGGCUUCGCCAUCUUCGCCUCUGCUUCAGGUGAUUGGGCGGCGGCUGGUGGAGAUCUGGAUCGAGCUGUGGCGGCUGCGGGUCGUCGCUGCUGGUUGAAGAAGGUGAGCAACUCUGACGGAUGAGGAAGGGAUGACGCCUGUGGGGGCUGUUGCUGUCGGCCGCUACUGGGUUCUUCGGUGGGAGGAGGUUGGUUGGUGAACGGUGCUGGAAAUGGCGGGGACUGUAGAGGCAACGACCAGCCUCUGUUUCUGGAUGAACCGAGAGAGGGAAAGUGUUUGUCGUGGCCUUGUGCCCAGGGGAGCUGGUUCGUGGCUGGGGAAGGAGCCGUUGCUGGCCAAGAGCUGCGGGCAAUGAGGGAGAAAGGAAUGGCCGACGAAGAAAAGGGUCGGAUCCGGUGGCUGUGUUUGGCCCCGGGUGAAGGAGAAGAAAAAAAAUCAAAGGGGGGCACUGGCGGCUUCUCUUGAAAAAAUGGGUUUAGGUUUAGGUUUUGUAUUUUUUCUGAUGUUAUCCAAAUUACCCCCUUCUUUUUGCAAGUGUUGGAAACCAGUAUUUAUAGGCAAAAAUGUUGCCAAGUUUUCAAACUUAGUCCCUCAAUUUCUUUCUUUUUUGUAAAUUUUGAUUUUUCUUAUUUUUUGAAAACGAGCAAUAUCAACGACGACUCAAUAAGGAAAAUCAAUGAUUUUAAAAAUGACGCGUGAAAAGUCGAACGCGUUUGAAAAUAUUUUAAAAAUUUAAAUUCUUUUUUAGACGACGUUGACAAUGCUAAAAUGACGAAAAUUUAUUAAAAAACAUAUUUUUUUGGAUUUUCUUUGUUUUUCUCUAUUUUUGAAAAUAUAUCAAACGCGUUCGACUUUUCACGCGUCAUUUUUAAAAUCAUUGAUUUUUCUUAUUGAGUCAACGUUGAUCGUUUUCAAAAAAUACAAAAAAAUAAGAAAAAUCAAAAUUUACAAAAAAGAAAGAAAUUGAGGGACCAAGUUUGAAAACUUGGCAAUAUGUUUUCCUAUAAAUACUGUUUUCCAACACUUGCAAAAAGAGGGGGCCAAUUUUGACAACAUCAGAAAAAAAUACAAAACCUAAACCCAUCUUUUUUUUCUUUCAAGAGGAGCCACCCCCCACCUUUUGGAUUUUUUUUCUUCAACCGAAACCGGCCAAACAAAGCCUCCAGCUUGAAUUUCUU